Molecule: microRNA precursor, 78 nt
Filed under: Jaculus jaculus (lesser Egyptian jerboa)
Lineage: Eukaryota; Metazoa; Chordata; Mammalia; Rodentia; Dipodidae
Description: miRNA (ENSJJAG00000006800.1)
Source: RNAcentral
UCUCUCUGCUUGCAAAUAAAAAUGUUUUAAGCCACUGUGCCUUUAAUGCGAGCACUGGGGAGGCAGAGGUAGGAGGAU